This 495-nucleotide ribosomal RNA is filed under the name uncultured bacterium. RNAcentral describes it as "partial 16S ribosomal RNA". It matches the Rfam family "Bacterial small subunit ribosomal RNA", at positions 28 to 507 of the family's 1533-position model. The record is from RNAcentral.
GACGAACGCUGGCGGCGUGCCUAAUACAUGCCAGUAGAACGCUGAAGGAGGAGCUUGCUCUUCUGGAUGAGUUGCGAACGGGUGAGUAACGCGUAGGUAACCUGCCUGGUAGCGGGGGAUAACUAUUGGAAACGAUAGCUAAUACCGCAUAACAGUAGAUGUUGCAUGACAUUUGCUUAAAAGGUGCAAUUGCAUCACUACCAGAUGGACCUGCGUUGUAUUAGCUAGUUGGUGGGGUAACGGCUCACCAAGGCGACGAUACAUAGCCGACCUGAGAGGGUGAUCGGCCACACUGGGACUGAGACACGGCCCAGACUCCUACGGGAGGCAGCAGUAGGGAAUCUUCGGCAAUGGACGGAAGUCUGACCGAGCAACGCCGCGUGAGUGAAGAAGGGUUUCGGAUCGUAAAGCUCUGUUGUAAGAGAAGAACGAGUGUGAGAGUGGAAAGUUCACACUGUGACGGUAUCUUACCAGAAAGGGACGGCUAACUACGUG